This is a long non-coding RNA of Rhodamnia argentea, 344 nucleotides long. RefSeq lists it as uncharacterized. Lineage: Eukaryota; Viridiplantae; Streptophyta; Magnoliopsida; Myrtales; Myrtaceae. The transcript is spliced from 4 exons. The record is from RefSeq and is a predicted model, not a curated record.
GAAGCAUGAUCCCUUACCACAAAAAUUUGACUUCCCAGGGAUACCGAGUGCUCAUAUACAGUGGAGAUCAUGAUAGAAGAGUACCUUUCACUGGGACUCAAGCGUGGACCAGAUCAAUGGGAUACAAGAUCAUUGACGAAUGGAGGCCUCGGAUGACUGAUGAUCAAGUCGCAGGGUAUCUGCAAGGAUAUGACAACAACUUCACAUUCUUAACAAUCAAGGGAGCCGGGCACACGGUCCCUCAAACCAAGCCAUGAGAGGCAUUGGAGUUUUAUAGUCACUGGUUAGAUGGAAAGCCAAUCUAGCGUUAAUGUAUUCCCAGUUCUUAAAUCAAAAUGAUCUCA